GAUGAACGCUGGCGGCGUGCCUAAUACAUGCAAGUCGAGCGAACGGACGAGAAGCUUGCUUCUCUGAUGUUAGCGGCGGACGGGUGAGUAACACGUGGAUAACCUACCUAUAAGACUGGGAUAACUUCGGGAAACCGGAGCUAAUACCGGAUAAUAUUUUGAACCGCAUGGUUCAAAAGUGAAAGACGGUCUUGCUGUCACUUAUAGAUGGAUCCGCGCUGCAUUAGCUAGUUGGUAAGGUAACGGCUUACCAAGGCAACGAAGCAUAGCCGACCUGAGAGGGUGAUCGGCCACACUGGAACUGAGACACGGUCCAGACUCCUACGGGAGGCAGCAGUAGGGAAUCUGCCGCAAUGGGCGAAAGCCUGACGGAGCAACGCCGCGUGAGUGAUGAAGGUCUUCGGAUCGUAAAACUCUGUUAUUAGGGAAGAACAUAUGUGUAAGUAACUGUGCACAGCUUGACGGUACCUAAUCAGAAAGCCACGGCUAACUACGUG
This 497-nucleotide ribosomal RNA is filed under the name uncultured bacterium. RNAcentral's name for it is "partial 16S ribosomal RNA". It matches the Rfam family "Bacterial small subunit ribosomal RNA", at positions 28 to 507 of the family's 1533-position model. The record is from RNAcentral.